ACUUUCUGGGCAGUUUUGAGAACCUAACAAGAACUUGGACGAAGUUGGAUGAAAACUUGAAUCAAAACACUUUCUAACUAAUCUAAGACUUCAAAAUAAAGGGGGAUUUGUUUUGGACGAAAAUUGAAAACAAAACAUAAACUUUAAAACAAAACAGAUUGUAAAACGUUUUUGGAUGAAAAGGAUGGAUAAAAGGCUAGUUAGGAGGUU
Molecule: long non-coding RNA, 210 nt
Filed under: Malus domestica (apple)
Lineage: Eukaryota; Viridiplantae; Streptophyta; Magnoliopsida; Rosales; Rosaceae
Description: long non-coding RNA (MDOM_LNC019975)
Source: RNAcentral